AGGUGUGCGCCACUACCGCCCCGCAUAGGUCCCUCCCGAAGCUGCGAGCUCGGUUGAAGAGGAUGACCUUCCCCGAAUAGAGGAGGACUGGUCUUCGGUCAAGGGUAUACGAGUAGCUGCGCUCCCCUGCUAGAACCUCCAAACAAGCUCUCAAGGUCACCAUUUUUUUAGUGGUAGCUGCUUAUGUCACUUUAUAUAUUUGAUUUUUCAUACAGAGAAGGUGUGAUGGAGUUCUUA
This 237-nucleotide small nuclear RNA is filed under the name Peromyscus maniculatus bairdii (prairie deer mouse). RNAcentral's name for it is "7SK RNA (ENSPEMG00000003559.2)". It matches the Rfam family "7SK RNA". Rfam says of the family: 7SK was discovered as an abundant small nuclear RNA in the mid-70s but a possible function has only recently been suggested. Lineage: Eukaryota; Metazoa; Chordata; Mammalia; Rodentia; Cricetidae. The record is from Rfam by way of RNAcentral.